Molecule: ribosomal RNA, 465 nt
Filed under: uncultured bacterium
Lineage: Bacteria
Description: bacterial SSU rRNA
Rfam family: Bacterial small subunit ribosomal RNA
Source: RNAcentral
CCUACGGGGGGCAGCAGUGGGGAAUUUUGGACAAUGGGCGCAAGCCUGAUCCAGCAAUGCCGCGUGAGUGAAGAAGGCCUUCGGGUUGUAAAGCUCUUUUGUCAGGGAAGAAACGGUUGUCUCUAAUACAGAUGGCUAAUGACGGUACCUGAAGAAUAAGCACCGGCUAACUACGUGCCAGCAGCCGCGGUAAUACGUAGGGUGCAAGCGUUAAUCGGAAUUACUGGGCGUAAAGCGUGCGCAGGCGGUUAUGCAAGACAGAUGUGAAAUCCCCGGGCUUAACCUGGGCACUGCAUUUGUGACUGCAUAGCUAGAGUGUGUCAGAGGGGGGUAGAAUUCCACGUGUAGCAGUGAAAUGCGUAGAGAUGUGGAGGAACACCGAUGGCGAAGGCAGCCCCCUGGGAUAACACUGACGCUCAUGCACGAAAGCGUGGGGAGCAAACAGGAUUAGAUACCCCAGUAGUC